GGGAAGGUAGCUCAGUGGUAGAGUGCAUGCCUUGCAAGCAUGAGGCCCUGGGUUCGAUUCCUUAGCACCA
Dipodomys ordii (Ord's kangaroo rat) is the source of this 70-nucleotide non-coding RNA. The record is from Rfam. Lineage: Eukaryota; Metazoa; Chordata; Mammalia; Rodentia; Heteromyidae.